Molecule: ribosomal RNA, 253 nt
Filed under: uncultured bacterium
Lineage: Bacteria
Description: partial 16S ribosomal RNA
Rfam family: Bacterial small subunit ribosomal RNA
Source: RNAcentral
GACGGAGGGUGCUAGCGUUGUUCGGAAUGACUGGGCGUAAAGGGCGCGUAGGCGGCUCGUGAAGUCGGGUGUGAAAGCCCGGGGCUCAACCCCGGAACGGCAUCCGAUACUGGAUGGCUUGAGUCCGGGAGAGGGAUGCGGAAUUCCAGGUGUAGCGGUGAAAUGCGUAGAUAUCUGGAGGAACACCGGUGGCGAAGGCGGCAUCCUGGACCGGCAUUGACGCUGAGGAGCGAAAGCCAGGGGAGCAAACGGG